UUGCCUGGUAUUUUUACACAUAUAGUGGAACGAAUGACUAUAAUGCGUAAGUUUAAGAGUUUAUAAUAAUAUAAACAUUACUCUGGUCGGUGUCAAUAAAGCUGUCAGACGAUACAGUGGUGCAGCUACAAACGUGUUAUUAUAUGCAAUCGAGGAAGCCAAUCAAUACACUCGGUAAAGUGGUGGCAUGGAUCGCAGUUAAUACCAUUGUUAAUUUUGAAUUAGUUUAUAAGUUUAUUGUAACACUCACAUAUCAAUAUCUUGAGUCAAAUAUAUUUUCAUUGACAUUUUUUUCAUUUUAA
Contarinia nasturtii (swede midge) is the source of this 302-nucleotide long non-coding RNA. RefSeq lists it as uncharacterized. NCBI's taxonomy places the organism in Eukaryota, Metazoa, Arthropoda, Insecta, Diptera, Cecidomyiidae. The record is from RefSeq and is a predicted model, not a curated record. The transcript has 2 exons.